Molecule: ribosomal RNA, 497 nt
Filed under: uncultured bacterium
Lineage: Bacteria
Description: bacterial SSU rRNA
Rfam family: Bacterial small subunit ribosomal RNA
Source: RNAcentral
AAUCAACGCUGGCGGCGUGCCUAACACAUGCAAGUCGAACGAGAAAGUGACUUCGGUCACUGGAUAGUGGCGUCCGGGUGAGUAACACGUGGGUAAUCUACCCUCGGGUGGGGAAUAACGUCUCGAAAGAGACGCUAAUACCGCAUAAUGCAGCGGCACCUAAUGGUGAAUAGUUGUUAAAGCGGGGGAUCGCAAGACCUCGCGCCUGAAGAGGAGCCUGCGGCAGAUUAGCUAGUUGGUGAGGUAAUGGCUCACCAAGGCUUCGAUCUGUAGCUGGUCUGAGAGGACGGCCAGCCACACUGGCACUGACACACGGGCCAGACUCCUACGGGAGGCAGCAGUGGGGAAUUUUGGGCAAUGGACGAAAGUCUGACCCAGCAACGCCGCGUGAGGGAGGAAAUCCUUCGGGAUGUAAACCUCGCAAGCAAGGGAAGAAUGCUUGAGACCUAACACGUCUCAAGAGGGACGGUACCUUGCGUAAGCCACGGCUAACUACG